UGACACGCGCCACCAGGCUCCGCGCUCAUGGCCUGGCCUGGCAUCUCACCAGGCUUUUCAAUGGACUAGAGUGCGGGGCUGCUCUGCCUGUGGCAAGGGUUGUCCUGCUGCUGGGCACAGGCCCAGAGAGGAAGUGGCAGAAGCUGGGCAUGGGAUGCUGGUCCUUGAAGGAGUGUGUGGGGGCCACUGGGUUGAACGCAGCCCGCUGCAGCCCUGUGACCUUGAUUAAAAGACUACUUUUUAGAGCAGUUUUCAUUUUACCGAUACAUCGAUCAGAGAGUACGGAGCUUCCCACAUUGCCUCCCGCACCCCAUAGCAGGCAGAGGCACCAGCCAGGCGCCAUCCUUUACAAGCUGUUUCAGCAAAAUGUCCCUGGGAAGGAAAUGACCGCAGAAGGGAGUGCACCGUGGGGGCAGGAGGUGCUGCGGCCAAUGGGCAGUGCUGGGAGAUGAAACCAACAGCGGCGAUUGCCCCAGAAAGAACUUGGCGCUGCUAAGGCAAUGGCGGCCCGAAAGAGGCCCCUGA
Molecule: long non-coding RNA, 525 nt
Organism: Homo sapiens (human)
Lineage: Eukaryota; Metazoa; Chordata; Mammalia; Primates; Hominidae
Product: long intergenic non-protein coding RNA 313
Source: Ensembl